Molecule: ribosomal RNA, 253 nt
Filed under: uncultured bacterium
Lineage: Bacteria
Description: partial 16S ribosomal RNA
Rfam family: Bacterial small subunit ribosomal RNA
Source: RNAcentral
GACGUAGGGCGCGAGCGUUGUCCGGAUUUAUUGGGCGUAAAGAGCUCGUAGGCGGCUUGUCGCGUCGAAUGUGAAAACUCGAGGCUCAACCUCGAGACGCCGGUGGAAACCGUAAAGCUAGAGUCCGGAAGAGGAGAGUGGAAUUCCUGGUGUAGCGGUGAAAUGCGCAGAUAUCAGGAAGAACACCCGUGGCGAAGGCGGCUCUCUGGGACGGUACUGACGCUGAGACGCGAAAGCGUGGGGAGCGAACAGG